RNAcentral lists this transfer RNA (78 nucleotides) under Heteralonia sp. Its description in RNAcentral is "tRNA-Asp". The record is from RNAcentral. Lineage: Eukaryota; Metazoa; Arthropoda; Insecta; Diptera; Bombyliidae.
AAAAAAUUAGUUAAAAAAAUAACAUUAGUAUGUCAAACUAAAAUUAUUGAAAUAAUCAAUAUUUUUUAAUUCCACAAA